CAAUCGGAGCGCGUACAGCCU
RNAcentral lists this unclassified non-coding RNA (21 nucleotides) under Mus musculus (house mouse). RNAcentral's name for it is "oocyte_clustered_small_RNA14268". The record is from RNAcentral. Lineage: Eukaryota; Metazoa; Chordata; Mammalia; Rodentia; Muridae.